AACGAACGCUGGCGGCAUGCCUAACACAUGCAAGUCGAACGAGACCUUCGGGUCUAGUGGCGCACGGGUGCGUAACGCGUGGGAACCUGCCCUUAGGUUCGGAAUAACUCCCCGAAAGGGGUGCUAAUACCGGAUAAUGUCUUCGGACCAAAGAUUUAUCGCCUUUGGGUGGGCCCGCGUUGGAUUAGCUAGUUGGUAGGGUAAAAGCCUACCAAGGCGACGAUCCAUAGCUGGUCUGAGAGGAUGAUCAGCCACACUGGGACUGAGACACGGCCCAGACUCCUACGGGAGGCAGCAGUGAGGAAUAUUGGACAAUGGGCGAAAGCCUGAUCCAUCAAUGCCGCGUGAGUGAUGAAGGCCUUAGGGUUGUAAAGCUCUUUUACCCGGGAUGAUAAUGACAGUACCGGGAGAAUAAGCUCCGGCUAACUACGUG
RNAcentral lists this ribosomal RNA (433 nucleotides) under uncultured bacterium. RNAcentral's name for it is "partial 16S ribosomal RNA". It matches the Rfam family "Bacterial small subunit ribosomal RNA", at positions 29 to 507 of the family's 1533-position model. The record is from RNAcentral.